Mirounga angustirostris (Northern elephant seal) is the source of this 2208-nucleotide long non-coding RNA. RefSeq lists it as uncharacterized. The record is from RefSeq and is a predicted model, not a curated record. NCBI's taxonomy places the organism in Eukaryota, Metazoa, Chordata, Mammalia, Carnivora, Phocidae. The transcript has 8 exons.
GUUUGCACGUGGCUCUAGACCUGAGACCAAAGGUGAGGGAUGGCAGACGGGGACUCCUGUAAAGCCAACAUUCUUCUUUAGAAGUAAAGUGUGUAACAGGUGAUAAGCCAGGCCCAAAGGAGAGAAGUCACUGGAAGAUGAGGAUACUGGAACGAAAGAAAGUAUAUUUAAGCACUUACUAGCAACGUGUUUUUCAGUUAAGGAAGAAGUGCCUCCGAGCAGGUCCGGAAACCAUAGUGGAUUUCUAAGGAAGUGGAAACCGCUCCUCCAAGAUGCCCUUAGCAGCAGCUGAAGCAUUUGCACGGGCCUUCGCUCGCCUCGGGCGCAACGCACAAGCCGGGACAAACAGGACUCAGCGGUCCUUACUGCAGCUCCGUGAGACAGGCAGUCUCAAUCCCGUGUCACACACCCAGCCACGGAGACACAGCACCUAAGCCCCCGGCUGGAAACCACAAAGGGAUGCAAGGAAGGUUUGCCUCUAAACCCCCAGCUUGUUCUCUUUCCCCAGUUUUGAUGACUAAGCUCGGAAGCAGUGUCAGCAUGAGGCAGUUCGGCGGUAGAGCAUGCACCCUGCUUAUUUCACAGGGCUGUGGUCAGGAUACAGAGCUUACACGUGUGAAAGCAUUUUGAGGACCGUGCGAUGCUAUCCGAGUAAAAAGAAGCAUGAUUACUGUGAUCAUUGGGUCAUUUCAUUUUCCAACUCUGUCGAUGGGUUCUUAGUGUACAUCACGUAUGCAGUCACUAGGGGGAGGCAACAGACAAUGCAUAUAAGCGGACUUCGUCUUGGAAGCAAAGUGGAUCUUUGUUUCCACAAAGGCAUCCUAAACUCCUAUGAAUGGUUUUGAAUAGUGGAUAUUGCCCCCCAAAAUGAAUGGACGAUAUUAAAGGAUCUCACAAAGAAGAGGGAAAAUCAUCAAGAAAUGGCAAUUUGAAGGGCAACCUGUGUUAUUAGCUGGUGUUUCCCUUUGAGACGAUUGUGGGAGAGCCACAGCCUUUGAAGGCAGAGGCCAUUUCUGUUUUUGUUGGACAAGUGCUUUUAUAGUACUGGUUUGGGCACUCUGGGCCCCCCAGCACUCCUGAUGAAGACAGGUGAUCCUGCCUCCCUGGCUCACCUUUUAAUGGAGGGAGCAGCCAUUUUGCAGCCAGCCACCUACUCUAGAAAGGGUACUGGGCAGGACACAAACCAGCUGCAGUUUCUUUACCUGGAAAAAUGGGAAUGGGAUGAAGCUGAGUAAAGGAGGACAGCACAUGGCAAAAGAGCCUGGAGAUGUCGUGUGUGGCCAAGUAGGUACACUCAUUGGACAAUGGCUGUCUCUUUUUAAGACUUGUCAGGAAGCAGUGGACAGCACGGCCACUGUCCUAUGCCAUUCAGUUUUAAGGGAAGGGACUCUGUCCAUGGACCAGAAAGUACAGGAAGCAGAACCCGGCAGCUAUGUGGGAGAUGUGGGCUCUGAUCAGGGAGACUGAUCUCCAAUGUCUCCAUGGCAAGUCUGGGAUGGGGAAUUCAGAAUCAGAGGACUACGACCUCUCCCACCAUCUUUCAUUUCCUUGCUGUUUACCUGGACCUGCCUUGAUAAGGCUGAAUCUUCUCUCUUUCAUCUAUGCAAUGGGUGUAGGCUGAAGAAGCAGCCCUUUGCUGGGACAUCGUGAGUGGGAUGGGAGAGGACACGGAUGGAGGAGUCACGCAAUAGCCCGUAAAGCUUCGGCACAGAAGCAGCGCAUGUCGCCUCCACUCGCAUUUCACUGGCCAAAGUGGGUCAGGUGGCCAGAUGGAAACACAGUCGCGUGGGAAGAGUAUAAUCUUCUGUGUUGGGAGACCCACUGAGGAGUAGCAGGUGCCCAGGAAGCUGGAAGAAGGACUAUAAUGCUGCUGCAGAAAAAUCUCACAUUUCCACCGCGCAGCUUGCCAGAAUGAAACUUCCAAAGGGGGCAGGAAGCAGCCUCUGCCUCAUUUCUGCCUUCCCAAACUCAUGCAAAUCCUUACAAUCAGUGAGACCUAAUUUACAUGCAAAACUGAGAGAGCUCCGCAGGAAUCUGAGCAACAGUUUCCAGCUUUGCAGCCUAGAGGUUGAGCAAGCCAGUCCAUAGCCAAACACCCUGCAUGAGAUUGUUGUGAAGAUUAAAUAAAAAUAAUUUAUGCAGGUGCCUGGUACAGAGUGUAAUGCAAUCAGUAUGGUUAUUUAUUAUUGUUUAUUAAGAGCAAAUCGU